This is a long non-coding RNA of Cucurbita maxima (winter squash), 685 nucleotides long. RefSeq lists it as uncharacterized. Lineage: Eukaryota; Viridiplantae; Streptophyta; Magnoliopsida; Cucurbitales; Cucurbitaceae. The record is from RefSeq and is a predicted model, not a curated record. The transcript has 5 exons.
GGGGGCUGUACAUGCAGCUCUCUGCAAAUUUUACGAGAUCCUUCGGUCGAGGAAGACGAGAAGCCAGACCUGUAAAUGUUAUAUGAUGCAACUCAACUUUAGCAGCAAUGUUAGCAGAUAUCUUUCUGAUGUUGGUAAAAGGAGGGUAAAUCAAUCCCUUAUCAUAGUUUUCCUGACUCACUUGGGCAGCCAGAGCCGCAGCUGGAAAGAGGAAAAAAACCUGUUAAAUCGAGCUCCGACCCGGCAAAACUAAUACUCGACAUGCGUUGGACGGGGGCUGCCAAGAGCAUGUCAUUGUGCACACGAAUCGUGCCUGACAUGAUCAGACCCAAGCCAAAUCCAGGGAAUAUGAUCAAAUGGACUUCCACUAGCAAAGAUCGCCCGGCCCUGCAGGACUUGGACUGUACCUGGCUCCAUGUAUAAGCUUCUUCAGCUGUACACUCCGAUUGUGAUGUAGGAUUUGAGAGAGCAAGGAUCAGCGGUUUCUGCAUAGUAAUCGAAAAUCGAGUUAAUCUUUAAUAACUUCUUGUCUAAGAAUUGAGGAAUGGAGAAGUUAGAGGGAACAAGGAAGAACCUCAUUGAAGGAUGCCAUGGCCUCCACAACUUCCUUUGUAAAUGUCUUCCCAACACCAGAUGUUCCUAUCAACACAGUUGGCCUGAUUGCCUAUAUAAUUUGAAGUUUUAA